Long non-coding RNA from Mastomys coucha (southern multimammate mouse), 1188 nucleotides. RefSeq lists it as uncharacterized. The transcript has 4 exons. The record is from RefSeq and is a predicted model, not a curated record. Lineage: Eukaryota; Metazoa; Chordata; Mammalia; Rodentia; Muridae.
UGAUAGGGCGGGGUUGCUGACGAACUUGUGGAAGGGGUUUUGCCUUAUUUAUUCUACCUGUUUGGCUUGUAACGAUAUAGAGUUAAAUGAAAGAUGGCUGAAUGAUCACACAUCGUGUCGGCUAAUUUUUAAGAACCUUCCACGUGGUUAAGGUAACAUAAAAUGGCUUGCCAGGUCCCUGACCACUUUUCCAGAAAACCCUUUCAUGUUCGUGGCUGCUGGACACUUAUGCACUUCUACUUUUCAGAUGAAAACACUGAUGCUCAAGCCAGACAGAGUGAGUGGUGGUGCUCACCCAUGAUCCUGUGUUCACCUAUGAUCCUGAGCUCACCCAUGAUCCCCGCACUCAGGACGUCAUGGGAAACUAACUGGCCAUUGAUGAACUGAGCAGGAUUCCAACAUCUGGAGAACUCAGCUAUACUUAAUGCAAGUGGGUUUAAGCUUUUAAAGUACAAGUAAAGUUUUGCUAUAUUUGGUGCAUACUAACAGGUAUAGAUAUGUUUCAAAGCCAGCCUGAGCUAUAUCAGAAAAUCCUAUCUCAAAAUGCAGAAAACAAAGCAACAAGAGACAAUAACAAGAAAAGGGAAAGCCUGCUCCGAGAUCUUGCCUGAGAAGAGCAGGUCUGUAAGGACAAAGCCAAGAAGAUUACCGCUCAGUCAGCGAAGACCCUUAUUUUCAGUCACGCUGUUUGACACAAACUGGAGUCUCCUGGGAAGAAGGGACCUCAACUGAGAAAUUACCUCCAUUUGAUUGGCCUGUGGAGCACAGGAUCAUAAUUGAUGCGACUCCUCAGGAGACCAUGACCCAGAAUAAAACACACCACAGGAUUCAGUUGAUUUUGCCGAAGUGCUAAACUAUGAUGGGACCUAUUUUGCAUUUAAAUGUUCAGCUUUGAUAUUUCUUGAUUUAGGAGUUUGUUGACACUAAUUCUCCAGUAUCCUAAAUUCCUUAUUUUGCUGGAAAUUUUUAAUUAAUUAAAAAAUUUGGCAAGAUUGUUUUAAACUGGAAAUGCUAAAAAUGUUACAUAUGCUCUAAUGAAUAUUUUAGCAGAAACAGCUAGCAGGCCUCACAAGUAAUGAUAACCUUGUUUGAUUUGUAAACACAAACAACAUUUAAGUUGGGAUAUUUCUUAUAAAUCCUUAUAGUAAAGAAAUUUUGAAGAAAAAAUAAAAAUGAAAGCCAACCCUG